RNAcentral lists this ribosomal RNA (535 nucleotides) under uncultured bacterium. RNAcentral describes it as "bacterial SSU rRNA". It matches the Rfam family "Bacterial small subunit ribosomal RNA", at positions 28 to 559 of the family's 1533-position model. The record is from RNAcentral.
GAUGAACGCCAGCGACAGGCCUAACACAUGCAAGUCGAGGGGUAACAGGGAAGCUUGCUUCCGCUGACGACCGGCGCACGGGUGAGUAACGCGUAUGCAACCUGCCUAUUACAGGGGGAUAGCCCGGAGAAAUCCGGAUUAAUACCCCAUAGUCAUUAUAGUCCGCAUGGAUUUAAAUGUAAAGAAUUUCGGUAAUAGAUGGGCAUGCGUAAGAUUAGUUAGUUGGUGAGGUAACGGCUCACCAAGACCACGAUCUUUANGGGUUCUGAGAGGAAGGUCCCCCACACUGGUACUGAGACACGGACCAGACUCCUACGGGAGGCAGCAGUGAGGAAUAUUGGGCAAUGGAGGCAACUCUGACCCAGCCAUGUCGCGUGCAGGAAGACUGCCCUAUGGGUUGUAAACUGCUUUUAUAUAGGAAUAGCUAUGCGAUUCGUUCGCAAAAUGAAUGUACUAUAUGAAUAAGGAUCGGCUAACUCCGUGCCAGCAGCCGCGGUAAUACGGAGGAUUCGAGCGUUAUCCGGAUUUAUUGGGU